This 496-nucleotide ribosomal RNA is filed under the name uncultured bacterium. RNAcentral's name for it is "partial 16S ribosomal RNA". It matches the Rfam family "Bacterial small subunit ribosomal RNA", at positions 28 to 507 of the family's 1533-position model. The record is from RNAcentral.
GAUGAACGCUGGCGGCGUGCCUAAUACAUGCAAGUCGAGCGAACAGACGAGGAGCUUGCUCCUCUGACGUUAGCGGCGGACGGGUGAGUAACACGUGGAUCACCUACCUAUAUGUCUGGGAUAAUUUCGGGACACCGGAGCUAAUACCGGAUAAUAUAUUGAACCGCAUGGUUCAAUAGUGAAAGACGGUUUUGCUGUCACUUAUAGAUGGAUCCGCGCCGCAUUAGCUAGUUGGUAAGGUAACGGCUUACCAAGGCAACGCUGCGUACCCGACCUGGGGGGGGGCUGGGCCACCGGGAACCUGAAACACGGCCAAGACCCUAAGGGAGGGCAGAGUAGGGAAAUUUUCGGAAAUGGGGGAAAGCUUGACGGAGGAACGCGGGGUGGGUGAGGAAGGCCUGCGGGCGGGAAAACUCUGUUAUGGGGAAGAACAAAUGUGUAAGUAACUAUGCACGUCUUGACGGUACCUAAUCAGAAAGCCACGGCUAACUACGUG